RNAcentral lists this long non-coding RNA (618 nucleotides) under Vitis vinifera (wine grape). RNAcentral describes it as "long non-coding RNA (VVIN_LNC002701)". Lineage: Eukaryota; Viridiplantae; Streptophyta; Magnoliopsida; Vitales; Vitaceae. The record is from RNAcentral.
ACCUUCCCUACCCCACAUCUACACCAAAGUCAAGUUGAACCCUUCUCGGGUUUAUUCACCUUCUUCCCUACCCAACAUCACUCACCAUCUCUGUCAUCCUAAACCUCCCAAUUGUUGCCCUAACAGUCAUGGUUGUGCUGCUCGGUCGCCUUAGAAAAUUAUACGACAACAACCUUCCCCACCCCACAUCUGCACCAAAGUCAAGUUGAACCCUUCUCGGGUUUAUUCACCUUCUUCCCUACCCAACAUCAUUCACCAUCUCUGUCAUCCUAAACCUCCUAAUUGUUGCCCUAACAGUCAUGGUUGUGCUGCUCGGUCGCCUUAGAAAAUUAUACGACAACAACCUUCCCCACCCCGCAUCUACACCAAAGUCAAGUUGAACCCUUCUCGGGUUUAUUCACCUUCUUCCCUACCCAACAUCACUCACCAUCUCUGUCAUCCUAAACCUCCCAAUUGUUGCCCUAACAGUCAUGGUUGUGCUGCUCGGUCGCCUUAGAAAAUUAUACGACAACAACCUUCCCCACCCCCACAUCUACACCAAAGUCAAGUUGAACCAUUCUCGGGUUUAUUCACCUUCUUCCCUACCCAACAUCACUCACCAUCUCUGUCAUCCUAAAC